Molecule: ribosomal RNA, 399 nt
Filed under: uncultured Rhodocyclaceae bacterium
Lineage: Bacteria; Pseudomonadati; Pseudomonadota; Betaproteobacteria; Rhodocyclales; Rhodocyclaceae
Description: bacterial SSU rRNA
Rfam family: Bacterial small subunit ribosomal RNA
Source: RNAcentral
GACAUGUCCGGAAUCCCGAAGAGAUUUGGGAGUGCUCGCAAGAGAACCGGAACACAGGUGCUGCAUGGCUGUCGUCAGCUCGUGUCGUGAGAUGUUGGGUUAAGUCCCGCAACGAGCGCAACCCUUGUCAUUAGUUGCCAUCAUUUGGUUGGGCACUCUAAUGAGACUGCCGGUGACAAACCGGAGGAAGGUGGGGAUGACGUCAAGUCCUCAUGGCCCUUAUAGGUGGGGCUACACACGUCAUACAAUGGAUGGUACAAAGGGUCGCCAACCCGCAGGGGGAGCCAAUCCCAUAAAGCCAUUCGUAGUCCGGAUCGCAGUCUGCAACUCGACUGCGUGAAGUCGGAAUCGCUAGUAAUCGUGGAUCAGAAUGUCACGGUGAAUACGUUCCCGGGUCUU